CAGCCCUAAACGAUGCGCGUUAGGUGUAUCGGUGACCACGAGUCACCGAGGUGCCGAAGGGAAACCGUGAAACGUGCCGCCUGGGAAGUACGGUCGCAAGGCUGAAACUUAAAGGAAUUGGCGGGAGAGCACCACAACGGGUGGAGCCUGCGGUUUAAUUGGACUCAACGCCGGGAAGCUCACCGGAUAAGACAGCGGAAUGAUUGCCGGGCUGAAGACCCUGCAUGACCAGCUGAGAGGAGGUGCAUGGCGUAACGUCU
RNAcentral lists this ribosomal RNA (260 nucleotides) under uncultured archaeon. Its description in RNAcentral is "partial 16S ribosomal RNA". It matches the Rfam family "Archaeal small subunit ribosomal RNA", at positions 748 to 1006 of the family's 1478-position model. The record is from RNAcentral.